This 8641-nucleotide long non-coding RNA is filed under the name Sus scrofa (pig). RNAcentral describes it as "lncRNA (ENSSSCG00015044842.1)". The record is from RNAcentral. Lineage: Eukaryota; Metazoa; Chordata; Mammalia; Artiodactyla; Suidae.
CUAAGACAAUAAGCAAUAAUCAUGAUAAAUAAGGAAAUUAGGUACUCUGCUAGACAGUGAUACUUGCUAUGGAAAAAAGAUAAUCAUUCAAGCCUUGAAGGAAGUAGGGGAGUGAGCUAAGGGGCUCUUUGGGGAAAGAGGGUUCUAGGCAGAGGGACAAAGCCAGGGCAAAGACCCUAAGGCAGGAAUGCUGAGGGGCCAAGGAAAACUAGGAGACCCGAGGGUGCCGCAGAACAGGUGAGAGGGACAGUGAUGGGCCAGGAGGGACAGAAGCCAGGUGGUCUAGAGCCUGUGGGCCAUGGUCGCCAGUUUUAGUACGCGAUGCAUUAUUUGGGUCGCACCUCAUAGCACCCAUAUGAUAGAUCUUCCUAUUAUCCCUUUUUAUAGAAGAAUAAACUGAGAUGCACAGCCAAAAGCCCUGUUUAUUUUACAGCUGAGAACAUUUAUAUCCAGAGAGGAGUGACUUGGUCAAGACCACAGAGUGGGAAAACGGCUCUUACUGGAGAUCUCUUGAUUUUCAGUCCCAAACUUUCUCCACGUCUCUGCUCCAGAAAGGAAUUCCUUUGAAGGAGGCUACCUCGGGGCCCCUCCUGAAGAUUCCCUUGUAGAUCACAGUGCUCUUAGCAUUGUGCUUUGCUGCCAGGUUUUCUCUGUGUGGACUGCAGAAUCUCCUUCUUUUUAUUGAAGCCUAGUUGAUCCUCAAUAUAAUAUUAGUUUCACAUGUACAACGUAGUGGUUCAACCGUCUUAUAGAUGGUACUCAGAAUUUCCUUCUUAGGAAGAAGGUGGAGGUGGAAAAUCUGAAAGAGAACUCACUUGUUAAACACACAGGUUAAUAAAUGCUGGAUGCGGUCAUGCUGGAAUAUGUCCAUUGACAGGUACUGAUUGCGUCCUGUGUUCCUGGUCCUCUUAUCAGCCACUGACGUGUUCAUUCCUUUAUUCCUCACCACCACCCUCAGGGGUAGGUAGUGUAUGGUUAUGGUCCUCAUUUUAUAGGUGAGGAAAUUGAAGCACACGAAGGUGAGAUAACGUGCCCAAAUCCGUCCCAUGAGUGGAGCAUUGAGCUGGACUCAAAGCUCAAAGUCUGUGCUCUUAGCGCCUCUGCUCCAUGGGUUGACCAGACCCAAAGGAGGUUACACCUGCUGCAGGAUUUGAGUCACCAGAAGCAUGUGUCCCUUCCCUCGAAGCACCUGAGGAAGUAGAUGAGAGCUGCCUUUCAUUUCUCCCUGUUCUUACCUAGAAAACACUCUUUUCUUGGAACUUCCCGUCAGACACAGGGACUUGCGGAGCUUAAUUGGCAAGAUGACUUUCAAAUACCUCCCUAUGAAAAAAGUCCCACUAGAUCCCAUCGUCCUUUCUCCCAUCCCCUCUCUGACUUAAAACAUGACUCUUUCUACUUAGAAUUUUUUGAGGAGGGAAAAAAACCACCCCCACGGAUUGAAAGCAGGACGCCAUACCCACUGAUCUAUGCAUCAUCGUGAUGGUGAUUCGCAUUUAUGCCGUGUGAACACUUGCCAGAGGCUGCCACACACGGUCAUUGUAUCAUUCGGCCCCAUGGGAGUUGUAGGUUGUCCUCAUUUUAUAGGUGAGGAAGCUGAGACGAAUUGAGGAAAGUGAAAUGACUUGCUUAGUCACAAUACUGAUAAGGUAGGUGGAGAGAGACGGGUCGCCAAGUCCAGAUGCUAUGCUGGCUGAGCAGCUGCACUCAAAACACAGCCCUUCAGAUACGGGACCCUUUCAUGGGAGGGAUCCCUGUAUUCUGUCUUCCCUCUUGAAAACAAGCACAAAGAGCUAUGGCACGUUCCGGGGCGGGGUGGGGGGGGGCGUCGUCACUUUAGGUGCAAAGGAUAUUAGUAAAACCUGUUUCUAAGACCGAGUCUCCACUAAAAAGAUGGUUUUCCUUCUCUGGGAUCUGGCCGGCUGUGUCAGUUUCACUCAUUGACUCCACUGGCCGCCUUUGGGAGUUUGUGUUGAUAUUGUUAUUGUGAAAAAGCACGUCUUGGUCCCCACCAUCUAUAUAUAUGCCUGCAGCGAAUUUUUUUCCUCUCUCUUCCAUUUCGUGCAACUUUCACUUACAGCCCGCUUGGCAUAAUUGACACAUUGGCUCAGGCCUCCAAGACUGCCAACUUGAAGCCUUGGAUCAGUGAAAUCAGUUAUGACAGAUGUGAUUAUUUACAAGAAAAUAGAAGUCACUAUAAUUAGACCUUUGAAGGAGAACAUUUGGGUAGAGAAUGAGAAAGCCCGAGUAUAAUCUGGCAUGAUGUGUUUGGACGUCAGCCCUGAGCCAGUCCCUCUCUGCUCUGUGAAAGGAGGUGCUGGGGUGACCGACACCCCCCACAGAUACUGCCAGUUAUCAGUGCUCAGGACACAGCUCUUGGGAGAUGGAAAGGUGAGGUGAUGGAGCAAGCCUUAGUCUUGGCACCAGCAGUGGUUUCCGUUCUCAGCUCAGCCACUUGUCCUCAGCAUCGAUUUCUUCUUUCAGUUGUAAAAUGGGGAUAAGAAAGAAGCCCCAUGUCAUCACAGGGUCGUGAAACUUAAAAGCGAUGCAGUGGGACAGGCGUCUAGCAUUGUGCCUGGCAUGAGGCAACAGGCAGAAAGCACCGAGCUGUAGAGGUUCUUACCCCUCUUGAGCAUGACACUUAAUCUCCUGGACCCUUGCUUUGGAAAAUAUAGAUGGAACCAUCUCAUACAGUGGAUGUGAGCGUUGGAGGAAAUGAAGUGUGAAAGGGGCUACGUAACCAUUUGUGGCUAUUUCAUGUCUCCAUCUUCCUAUUAUUUUUUUAAAAUAUCCGUGGUAGUUAUUUAUUCCAUGCAUCACAGGCCAGGCAUCAUGCAGUAAGAAAGAUCCAUUUCUUCCUUAGAUGCGAUAGGGAUGGUGCCGGGGACCCACUAUAGUUUUAGGGCCCUAGAAUAUGUUUCAUUUAAAUUUCUUUUAAAAUUAGAAGAAAUACAUGCAUAUAAUAAUUAUGAAUAUAAAAUAAGCUAUUAAAAUAAUAAAUAUGAUAAACAUAAUGAUUAAUCCAGCCUGGAAUAUAUUUGUCUUUAUGCCAGUGUAAUCUUACAACCUAAUUUUUGAGGUUGUUUGUUUAUUUGUUCGUUUUAAAUACAGGAAGGGACCCACAAAGGCAAAAGCCUAGGGCUCACAAAAAUCAUGAAGCAGCCUUGGUUGGAGGAACUUUACAAAUGCUAGCCCAGUCAUUCUCAGGAAGGUUUUGUUUUUAAUUCUCAUUUUACAGAUGAGGGGAUCUAAGCUUUGGAAGGUUAAGAAACUCAUCCAAAGUCACGUGGCAAGUAAAACAUUAUACUAGUCCGGUUGAACUAACAGCUUUAUCAAUCACCAAAUUUUAAUAGCUUCACACCCUAGAAGGCUAUUUCCGGCUCAGACCACAAUUCAGAGUGUAUGUCUGGCACGUGGUGUUCCACACAGUGAUUCAGGGACCCAGGCCCCUCCCUCUUGUGGUUCUGUCUCCCUCUAGUCUUGGGAGCACUUUCCAUUCAGUUGGUGGACAGAGAAAAGACAGAACCACAAGUGGGAGGUUUUUAGGGCCCAGAGCUCACAUCAUUUCUAUUCGAAUUCCAUUGGCCAAAAGGCUGUCACAUGACCACUUGUCACCACAAAGAAGCCUGGGAAAUGUAGUCCAGCUGCUUCCCAGGGAGGAAAAGGAGACGGUGAAUACUGGGGAGCACUCUCCACCCCUGACACGGUGACAGUGUUGGAUGCCAGCCCAGGUCUUUUGUACACAGAGUCCAUGCUCUUUCCACUCAGCUGGUUCCUGUCACUUUUAACUACCACAAAGUCCCUUUAUGGGCCCUUUUCUCCUGCCAGACUUGCCUACUCACCAUUCCUAGCACCAGACCUUUGCCUGCUCAGUCCCAGUUGCUGUAAUAGCAGGAGCACUAGGAAGGGAGAUGCACCAGGAGGAAGCUCCUCCCUGCCCUGGAUUCGCUUGCUGGUUACCUUGAGAAGGCUGCCUCCAGGAGAUAUGCUCUCUGUAUCUCCCAAUCCCAGGAUCGCUGGGUGCUUCUGAGCACGUAGUGCAGCCACUGCCUCAGUGUGAGAAAGGGGGCUGCACGGAGGGUUUCAGAGGCAAGAGGAAAGAGGUUUGAGCUGGAGUCUUGGCUGGACCGUCAGUCGUGAACUAGGAAUCAGCAGGAAGGGGACAGUACCUGAUGAUCUUGCAGCACAAAAGUGCUGCAGGCCUGGUCAUUUGCCAAAAGUGACUCUUGUGGUCUGCCCUUACCCCAUCAAUGCAUGUUGUCUUUGAACCCCAUGAUCCUGAAGAACAAAGCUUCUGGAGCCAGCUGGAGGCUAGAUGGCCCGUGGGCACAGUCCAUAACCACUGGGCCAGCCCAGUGUCCCUGGAAGUGUUCCAGUAAUGCCAGAGUUGGUGGGCGUCCAGCUCCUGCAGGACCAGGCCACAGCUGUCUGUUAUAAAGCCUCCGAGUUGCUAUGGAAUAAAUUCCUCCUCCAGGAAGCCCUCAGUGAUCCCCACCUCUUCAGAACUCAAGGGCACUUGUUGCCUUUCCACCUAAGGGCCCUGCAUUUGUUUCUUACAUCUCUUUCUGUCACCCUCCCUUUAUCUGCUACUGGCCUCAGAGGCAAGAGAGCUGAGAAGGUGGCCACAGCCAAGUCAUCAGGGAUGCUUCUGAGCAUUUUGUAGGCAUCACAGACUCCACAGCAUUUAGUCAGUUCUAACAUUUCAUCCAGAGUCAUACCCAGGACCGGUUGAUCGUGUGAAGAGAAGUGGUACCCAGGUUCAUUCCUUCUUUCUCUUUGUUGAGAAAAGUACAGUUUUUUAUUUAUGUGAUGAGAAAAGCACACUAAGGAGAAAAAGAUUUCGCCUCUAGUCAUCUUGAAAUGUUCAUGGUCACCCCCUGGUCUCUGUAAGGUGAAUACAGUCGCAUUGUGCCUGUGUCCAAAACAAAACAGCUCCGGUCAGACCUGGUCACAUCCCCUGGCUGCCACUCGCCAGCUGAUUGACCCUGGACAUGUUUCCUCAUUUCCCUCUGCCUGUUUCCUCGUCUGUCAAAUCGGGAUCCGGCUGUGGCUAGCUCAGGGGGUGGCUGUGAGUUUUAAAUGAGAGCCUAUAGAGUCGCAGUUGGCAUGCAGCUCUCCUCCCAGCCCCCGUUAGUCUCCCACGCAGGCGCAAAACCCUGCUUCAAAAUGCGUCUUGCAAGAAGACUUGGCAUCCAGGACGCGCCCUGGGAAGAAUUUGUUUUUGUUUUAAUGCCGGGGACGUUUGCAUGAAAACAGGAUCUUCCGUUGCUUAGGAAUUGAUCAACUCCUGCUGCUGCUUUUCCCCUGCCGAAGUGCCAGCCCCAUGUUUGUCGCAAGCAAAUGGGUAACAGUGGGGACGGCUGGGACCUCCACAGAUAAGGGAUUGUGGCCUCUCAGGGAGGGUUACAGAGCCCAAGGAAUCGAAAGACUCAGGAAUCCGUCCCAGGCUGAAAAGAGCUCGCAGGUAAAGGGUGCCUUGGCUGAGGGACAUGAGUGAAGAUUUUCUGUGGGUCUGAUUUGUUCCGGAUGCUCGGAGAAGAGAAGAAGAGGCCAGGUGUUUAAGACGUGGCCUCCACCUGCAGGGAUCAAAUGUAACAAAGAAGACAGCAGGCCUGAGUGAUGGGAACUGGUUUAAAGUGUAGCGGCUGGGAGUGAGAAGCUGAACAGACUCAUUCAGCACCCAGCUUCUGUAGAGCUACCCCAGAACCUCUCUGCUCCCCAGUUUCCUCACCGACAGAAGAGCACCCCUCACUCAGAGUCAUUAUGAGGAUUGAAUGAGAUGCUGUAUGUUAAGAGGUUGGCAUCAAUAAAGCCAAACUGUUAAUAUCAAUGAUAACCGUUCAUCAUAAUACCCGAUGCUCUCCAUCCUAAGGACGAGAUAGACAGAUGACCCUGAGGGCUGUUUAGAGGAAGGACUUGAACUUGAUUUGAUACCUGUGUCCGCUGCAGACAAUUCUUGAGGCGGUUUGGGGACAUUUCCCAAGACAUCGAAGUGCAAUUGCCCACAUGAACUUGGAGGAGGGUUUCCAGGACUCCUGUUCCAUAGGGCACCCCCUCCCCGGGACCCAUUUGUGGCCCCAGUCUGAUCCCACGGGCAUCACAGAAAGGACAGAGAUGAGAAGAGCCGGGAAUGACAACUCACCCCAUCAGGCCCUUCCUCUUGCCUCCGUGCUUGGCUUCCAGAAGGCAGUUGGUUGUCUGUGUCCCAAUGCCCAGGAAAAGCCAGACACCUUUCUCUUCUGGGUCCUUAAUAUAUGCUAAUCAAAGCUGAGCGUGCGCAAAAAAUAUCUGCUUGGCAGAAGCUCACUCCCUUGCCUUAGCCUGCUCGCCCUCCCCAGACUUCUCCUCCCAUCUCCUAUCCAAGGUCGUCCAUAAAUCCAGCUUUCGGAGCCCUUGGGGGGCUGGCAAGGCUGCCAUGGACCUCAGUCACAUCGCAGUGGAAACAAUUGAAAACCACUUGGCAAAACUCUGGGGUGACCUAAUGUUUUAUAGCAAGAAUACAUUUUUUUCCUCCCCAUUCUUAUUCAAGCCCUGGGGGGAAGCCAGCUGCUCUCCAGGCUCUGUCAGGCUGGUACCCAAUUUCCGGACUCUUCCCCCUGCCCCCGUCUCAGAUCACCCCAAAGGGGGAGGCCAGGCUGCCUGGCUGGCUUUGGCCUCCUUGCAGGCCCUGGAGAAACUGAUCCAGCCUUACCUUCCUGACUCGCCUGGCUGCCUUAGUCCCCUCAGAGGUGAGGCUCUGGCCGUGGGGGCCUGUGGGGAGGCCCAUAUAUGGAGCCUGGGGAAUGUGGGCUCUGGCAGGUGGCCUGGAAAAAAAUGGCUGUGUUCUGAGGGUGAACUCCACUGCAUUAUAAAUAGCACCGCCUCCCUCCCUUUGCAACUUGCUGUGUCUGUCACUGCAGGGCUGACAAUUUACAUUCAAGGGGACCGAACAGGACAAGGGGGCGGGGCGUGGGGUGGGGGGAGAUGCCAGAUCCUGCACGGGGUUCAGCUGCUGCCUUGGGAUUGAUAAAGAGAAUCGUCACCAGCCAGACGGUGGGGCUGAGAGUGGGACACAAUCGGGGUGGCAGAAUGACUACUGAUUUCAUGCAUCUUUGUAAGCACUGGGGGAAGACUCAGAGAAGCUCUGACUCUAGGAGAUGAUUUUAGAGAAGCUUUAGAGCCUUUGCAAAAACAAUAAUAAAAAAUCAGCUGCCUUGGAGUUCCUGCUGUGGCACAGUGGGUUAAGGCUCCAGCGUUGCAACAGCUAUGGCUCGGAUUCGAUCUCUGGCCUGGGAACUUCCAUAUGUCACUGGUGCAGCCAAAAAAAAAGAGUCGGUUGCUUCAAAAUACAAAAGGUUUCUCUCUGAUUCUUAAAGGUUAGCCAUUCUAGCCUCCAAAUCCAAACCUUAAAGGUUAGCCAUUCUAGUCUCCAAAUCCAAACCUACCAGAUGCCCGCACAGCCCAUGCAGUGAGCCUUCCUACAGAGGAUUUCUCGGUGGGCUCUUGUGUCUCUCUGACACUGAGGAAGCAGGGCACCUGCUCUUUCUCUGCAAACCUCAGCACGUUCUGCUCAUCACGAGGAGGGUGAUGAAUUCAGAAGGCGUUGGAAAAUAAAGAAACAAAGGAGUGUGCAGCCCUGGCUGUAGAAAACCACCCAGUCAUUCACACCUGGGUGAUGGCGAUGGGUGGGAGGUGUUUGAGCAAGUUCUGAGUUCUGGAGGAGGGGCCGGCCGGCUCUGUGGGGCCCUCGUUUGUGUCUCUGGCCCUUCGGGUGCUCCUGGGGACCAGCAGGUCUCCCGAUGGGCUGCCCCUCCCUCCUUGGUAGGAAUGAGAGGAGCUCUGCUGGGUCCCAUCAUGCUCGGGAGUGUGUUGGGGGCAGGCACCCCACCUCGGUGGGCAUUGGUGCCUCGUCUCUGAGCAGACAGAGCUGGCUACGGUCACUUGUGUCCUUUGUUUCAGCGCUUGUGCCUUUUGCGUCCAUAGCAAUGAUAUGGAAAUGGAUUAAUUGAUGGCUUUGUUCUCUUCUACCUUUAAAAUUCUCACUUCUUGUGUUCUAUGGGGCAACAUUUGAAAUUAAGCAUGUAGGGAGUUCCCGUUAUGGCUCAGUGGAAAUGAACCCGACUAGUAUCCAUGAGGAUGUGAAUUCGAUCCCUAGCCUCACUCAAUGGGUUAAGGAUCCUGUGUUGCUGUGAGCUGUAGUGUAGGUUGCAGAAGCAGCUUGGAUCUGGAGUUGCUGUGGCUGUGGCGUAGGCCAGCAGCUGCAGCUCUGAUUUGACCCCUAACCUGAGAACUUCCAUAGGCUGCAGCUGUGGCCAUAAAAAGCAAGGAUCAGAAGAAAUUAAGCAUGUAAAAAAACAAAAAAUUAAGGCGGAGCAGGCAAACUUCUGUAUCUUUUGGAUGCUUCUCCAAAGAACAUCUCCGGACCCCACAGAAUGGAGGCACUGAGUAGACGUGAGGUGCGAGUGGGUGGACAUCGGAACUCGAGUCUGGGUUGGAUUUGGAAUGACCACCCAAGGGAGCAGUCUUAGAACUCUGCUUCAGGAGUCCUGCUGGGAGCAAUGCCUCAGAGGCCAAAACAGAAAGGGCCUUGCGGACCCUUCUUCCUACUCCAGUCAAAGCAGCUCCACUUUCACCUGUUUUAAAAUUCCAUUAAAAAAAAAAAAAA